CAUUAAAGAGUUCUAUAACUCCCAAACCCAUGUGAACAUACCUAACGUUGCCUCGGCAGGUCGCACUUACCUUGUAGCACCCUACCCUGUAGGGCCUACCCGGGAGAUGCGGGUAAGCCUGCCGGCGGCCCACCAAACUCUGUUUAAUAUUGAAUUCUGAACAUAUAACUAAAUAAGUUAAAACUUUCAACAACGGAUCUCUUGGUUCUGGCAUCGAUGAAGAACGCAGCGAAAUGCGAUAAGUAAUGUGAAUUGCAGAAUUCAGUGAAUCAUCGAAUCUUUGAACGCAUAUUGCGCCCAUUAGUAUUCUAGUGGGCAGGACCGUUCGAGCGUCAUUUCGACCCUUAAGCCUUAGUUGCUUAGUGUUGGGAGCCUACGGCAACGUAGCUCCUCAAAGUUAGUGGCGGAGUUGGUUCACACUCUAGACGUAGUAAUUUUUUAUCUCGCCUAUUAGUUGGACUGAUCCCCUGCCGUAAAACCCCCAACUUAUCAAGGUUGACCUCGAAUCGGUUCAGACAAACUCGCUAAAUUGAAGCAUCUUAGUCAGCGAAGGAAAAGAAACCAACAGGGAUUGCCCUAGUAACGGCGAGUGAAGCGGCAACAGCUCAAAUUUGAAAUCUGGCCCUCGGGUCCGAGUUGUAAUUUGUAGAGGAUGCUUUUGGCGCGGUGCCUUCCGAGUUCCCUGGAACGGGACGCCUUAGAGGGUGAGAGCCCCGUACGGUUGGACACCAAGCCUCUGUAAAGCUCCUUCGACGAGUCGAGUAGCUUGGGAAUGCUGCUCUAAAUGGGAGGUAAAUUUCUUCUAAAGCUAAAUAUUGGCCAGAGACCGAUAGCGCACAAGUAGAGUGAUCGAAAGAUGAAAAGCACUUUGAAAAGAGGGUUAAACAGCACGUGAAAUUGUU
Molecule: ribosomal RNA, 902 nt
Filed under: fungal endophyte
Lineage: Eukaryota; Fungi
Description: eukaryotic LSU rRNA
Rfam family: Eukaryotic large subunit ribosomal RNA (bases 497-902)
Source: RNAcentral